Molecule: long non-coding RNA, 1563 nt
Filed under: Eptatretus burgeri (inshore hagfish)
Lineage: Eukaryota; Metazoa; Chordata; Myxini; Myxiniformes; Myxinidae
Description: lncRNA (ENSEBUG00000017474.1)
Source: RNAcentral
UGCAGGCACAUGGACGAGGCCAUAGUUUUUGUCGAGUCAAUUCCACUUGGAAUGAAAGCCCGUACUGCAUUCAAAUAAAAUAGUUCCCUUACGUUAACUUUAACUCAGGAGGAUGUCAUAAGGCCCAUCAAACUUGUGCAAUGGGUGGCAAACUUUAAUUGCUGGUCCAUGCUCUAUCAUUUCAAAAUGCUGGGCAUCAAGCGAGGAAGCAGCACAUACCAUUUUAAAAGUCUUUGGUACAACUUAGCCAGGGGUAGGUUUGAACCACCGACGUCCGAAACUAAAAGCAGACACUCUAACCUUUACGCUCUCAACCAGUGUGACCACUCCGCAUUUUCAUAAAUGCCAAGGUGAGCCAAUGAAAAAAGCCAAGUAUUCACAAGGUUUCGGAAAAGCAAUGAUAAUAGAAAACCAAGAUGCCAAGGUGAACAACAAAUAGCCAAGAUCUUGUGAAAAAAGCCAAGGAGUGGUCACACUGCUCUCAAGUCUGGCAAAACCACAACAUUUAUCCUCACUCAUACAUAAAUCCAGCCCAAGGAAAUAAUCUUUCCUACUGGUCCUGAUAUGAAAUGCAACAUCACAUUUUCAAAAGAAAUGUUUCUAAUCAACUUUUUCAAGGGAAGAUGUGAUUGUACAAUAAAGAAGAUUUCCCCCCCUUUAUCAAAAACUGCCUGGCUAUGUGAAAGGGAAUGUAUAAAAGGCAACACUCAGUCUUAGAAGCAUCAUUCACUUGUACUCGCUGUGCACAGUGUGAAGGUCCGAGUUCAAGCGACACUUUUCUGCAGAGACAACAGAGUUCGAUAAGAAUGCGUUCCUGGACUCUCCUGCCCGUCCUCCUUGCUCUGGCACUUAACGUCGUAAAAGCAGAAAAAGGAAAGAAAAUAGAAUAUUCAAUCCUACACGAGAUCACUGAUGAUAUUAAAACCACAUUGAAGGACCAUCAACUGGAAUCAGUAAAGUAUUGGGUUGAUAAGAAAAGACUUAUCACAGCUUGCAAGAGAAGUGUAACCGAAUGUUUGAAGGAGUUCAUCAACAUACUCAACAGACCUCAAAAAAGCAAUGUGAACAUUAAAGAAAUCGACCACCUGAAAGAAAAGAUCAUUCAUUAUUUGGGGGCAUGCAAGAUCCCGGCCAGGCCACACUUUGAGAAUGAACAAUGGAGGUUAAAGAAGAUCCUGAUAAAAAUGAAUGAAUUUCUGCAUUCCUGGAAACACAAUCACAAGAUUGCGAGGUGUCGGAUCCAACCGAUGCACGGUCCCACACCUGACCUGACCUGAUGCAACUUACAAUACAAGAUGAUGUCAAAAAGAAGCGGAAUGACAUCAUCUACACUGUGUAAACGCUUGGAUCCACUUGCAUAAAACUGAUAAAGUAAUGUUGGAACCAUCUCGAUGCUAAUAAUAAUCAUCAUAUCGUUACAAAGAAUUCUGUUUCGAGCAAACUACUGUUAUGCUGAUAUUUACAUUAAAAUUAUUUUUCCUUGAAAAAGACUAAUUAUUCAUCACAGUGCUGGAAAAAGGUGUGGGGAAGUCGAGGGAGGUUGUAGUGGAAAUGAAAUAAACA